RNAcentral lists this ribosomal RNA (425 nucleotides) under uncultured bacterium. RNAcentral describes it as "partial 16S ribosomal RNA". It matches the Rfam family "Bacterial small subunit ribosomal RNA", at positions 359 to 776 of the family's 1533-position model. The record is from RNAcentral.
GAAUUUUGGACAAUGGGCGAAAGCCUGAUCCAGCAAUGCCGCGUGCAGGAUGAAGGCCUUCGGGUUGUACACUGCUUUUGUACGGAACGAAAAGCUUUGGGUUAAUACCCUGGAGUCGUUACGGUACCGUAAUAAGCAGCCCCGGCACACCACGUGCCAGCAGCCGCGGUGAUACGUUGGGUGCAAGCGUUAAGCGGAAUUACUGGGCGUAAAGCGUGUGCAGGCGGGUUUGUAAGAGAGAGGUGAAAUACACGGGCUCAACAUGGGAACUGCCUGUGUGACUGCAAGGCUAGAGUACAGCAGAGGGGGGUGGAAUUCCGCGUGUAGCAGUGAAAUGCGUAGAUAUGCGGAGGAACACCGAUGGCGAAGGCAACCCCCUGGGCCUGUACUGACGCUCAUGCACGAAAGCGUGGGGAGCAAACAGG